GCUUUGCAGACCGUUUCCUGCUUUUGGAGCAGUCUAUGGUUUGCACUGAUUCAUACCGCACCAGACUGAGAUAAAUACAGCAAAUUCAAACUUCUGCGCCAACGUCUGGAUUCACUGAAGUUGCUUGUUGUCUAACCAUCCCACCGUGGAAUAGAAGCAGCUCAGAUAAAUCACUGGACGCAACAAAACUGAGAUGAAAUUCACACCGAUGAUGAAAGCAGACGCUUCCAGCUGCAUGAGGUGGUGGUGGAAAGAGCGAAGAGGGAAGAUGAAGGGGGGUCUCUUUUGAAGGCUUACUACCCCCAAAACCUCCUCUCCUCCCCUGAUGAAAGUUAAAUGGUUGAAGUAUUCCUGUUCUGAGAUGUGAUUAGCAUGUCACACA
Gambusia affinis (western mosquitofish) is the source of this 382-nucleotide long non-coding RNA. RefSeq lists it as uncharacterized. The transcript has 3 exons. NCBI's taxonomy places the organism in Eukaryota, Metazoa, Chordata, Actinopteri, Cyprinodontiformes, Poeciliidae. The record is from RefSeq and is a predicted model, not a curated record.